Molecule: long non-coding RNA, 2881 nt
Organism: Aethalodelphis obliquidens (Pacific white-sided dolphin)
Lineage: Eukaryota; Metazoa; Chordata; Mammalia; Artiodactyla; Delphinidae
Exons: 2
Source: RefSeq, a predicted model, not a curated record
GGCCUGACGCCCCUCCUGCUGGCUUGGGGAGAGGGUGGCGCCUCGCGGUGUGGAGGAACUUGGCAUAAUGCUGGCUCGGAGGCAAGAACAGCAGAGCUUGGCCGUGGUCGCUAUUUGCCAUUAACGCUUUCUUGGGUGGCAGUGAAGGAUGGAGGGAAGGGAGAUGGCCUUGUGUUCCCGGCAGAUGUUAGGGACUCCGAGGGACGGCAUUUGGUCUUCUCUCCAUUAUGCCAUUUCUCGAAAAGGAUGGUAAAUGUUAGUUUUCUGCACCUUUGCGUUGGGGAAUUGUAAAAUCGGGAAGACAACAGGAAACAACUGCAAGAAAUCAGAGACUUUAAUUGCUUGUAAAUAUUUCUACCCAAAAAAUGACCAGUGUUUGUUGUGUUCACAGUUUAAUCAAUAGGUUCAGCAUUACCAAAUCAAUUUUCUUUCAUUACAUUGUAUGAAGUUUACCGUUAAAACGAGACCUAGAGCACGUCAACAGGAAUCUGGCUGUUAAGAUUACUUUAUAAAACUUUGUAUACAAUUUUCAAAUCCUUUAAGGGAGAUCAGAAACCACUUGAAAUACCAUAGGUUUUUGUCACCUCUGAAAUUGUGAAGAUGUGUUUAUUUUCUUUCCUUUUCAAUUUUUCUACCACAUAAAUAAAACUUUCCUUUGGACAUUUUUUUCUAUUUUUGAGAUACAUUUUGCAAGAACAGUUAUAUGAAAAUGAAUCUUUAAAUGGAUACAAAUGAGAAAAAUCUAAUGUUAUCUGAAAAUUCUGUUCUUAUUCAUUUUAAAUGUUUUUAAAAAUUUUAAAUACAUUGAAUAUUUUCUUCAAAGUAUAUUACAAUUUAAAACAUAGAAAACAGCAAACCAAUGCUAAUGAAAAAGUAACUGCAAAUCCUGUAAGUUACCAAUAUUUGAAAAUUAAUUUCCACUCUUGUGUCAUUUGGUUUUUGUUUUUUCUUACCUAUAAUUUGGAUUUCAGUAUAGUAUAAGGUUGUUUUCCAUUUUAUGCAUUUUUUAGAAAGAACAAGGAGAGAGAGGCUUGUCUAUGAACUUCGUGCUUUUUUAGACAAUUGUCAAUCUGUAAGUAAUACAUGGAAACUGCAUCCUUUUAAGUAUUUAUAUUUGGACAAUUAUAACAUUUUAGAGGAGUAAGAAAAAUGCCUAUUUUGACAAGACUUACUGACUCAUUCCUUUGCCCAUGAAAUUCCACUGAUGUCAGUGGCAGUGUUAUUUUACACGUAGGUAAGAUACAAUGUUUAAUAGAAUGUAAACAUUUUGUACAAAAUAUUUAUUAUAUAUUUAGUGGAUUCUAUGAUGGUCCUGAAGUUUGGCAGCCCAUUUCCUUUCUGAAGAAAACUAAAAAAACCAUUUUAAAUGUCUCCAGAUUAAGAACUUCUUUUGUAUUCCCAUACCUCUAAAAAUAGGACUGAAACCAAUGAUCAAGUCCAAACUUUUGCUUUGUGACUCAUCCAGUUUAAACCCAGUGACUUGUUUUGUUGUAGGCAAGACAGCAAAUCCAGAAGCCAAUAUGAAGCACAUUACUUAUUUUUUUAAAAAUCAAGGGUGUAAAUAAACUGUAAUAAUAAGAAAUAUUUUUAAUAAUAGAAACUUCAAAUUUAAAAAAUACUUUAAAUAUAAAUGAUUACAUUAAUUAUAAACUUCCUAAUGCAGUUACUUGAAAAUUUUUUUACUAGGUUCAAGGAAUCAGUGCUUUAAGGGUGAAAAACAGGAAGUUAAAAAUUAUGGUGUUUAUAUCUGUACAUUUUGUUUAGACUUGUAAAGAUGUGUGUAAAUGAAGUAAUCAAGAAUGAUUACCUGAAUAAUGACAUGUGCUUCAGCUUCUUACAAAGUGUGUACUAUUUAGAGGUUUAACUGUCCAUUUUAUAUUUAAUCAAAAUCAUGUUUCUCCUCCAUAAGAACUCAAAGUUUGAUAUAAAACAAAGGAUAUGUAAAUAAGUUUAGUAUAAUUGUAAUAACAAUAUGGCCAACUCUUAAUUAUCUUAGAUUAUUAAUUAUUUACCAUUCUCCUUGUUGCUAUGUGUUAACAUAGCCCUACAUAGGAGGGAAGUGAAGAUGAAAGUCAAUGAAACUCAAAUUAAUUAGAUUUUCUGCUUGUUAGCAAUUGGAAAAAUAUUUAGAAAAAGAAUGACAGUAUUGUUUGUGUCAGACAACCCAUCCUUAUGCAGUGUUUUUAACCUUUCUAGCCAUUUACUCAUCUGAGAAGUGGUGGUAAUAUAAUCUACCUUAUGAAAUUGUGAGAAUUUAAUGAAAUAAUGUGCAAGAAAAAAAUGUGCCUGGUACAUAGUAAAGGCUCAAUAAAUAUCAGUUUUAAUUAUUUGAAAUCAAAAGGUACCCAUAACUUUUAUUUUUUUACAUAUGGCAUAAUUCAUUUUCUUUGUCAAUAAUAUUUAAAAAGAGAAUGGAUUUCAGAAUUUGUAAACUAUCUUCCAAAUAUAAUUUCCAUAAUAACUGUAUCUUGCAUUACUAUAUGAUAAUAGAAAUAUUAAUGGGAAUAUUUGGCCUGCUCCAUCAUAAUUUCUUUAAAGCAUACGGUUUUCGCGAAGACAAAACUUAGGAAAAAUGCUUCAAGUGAUUUCAGAGACUUAGUGCCUACCCAGCCUCAACUCAAACAGAAUUUGUUAAGUUUUUGUCACAGUUGGUAGUUUAGUACCAAACUUUAUGGUAGCAAAAACGCUGAAGAGCUUUAAAUCAUUAAGUAAAAAUUAUUUGCAUGGAGGGUUCUGUCUGUACAUUCAGUAAUUACAGUGAUUCCACCUUUCUGGUGGUGAUGUUAACUUUGAUCACUUUAUUUAGGUUGUGUCUGCUGGGUUUCUCCACUGUAAAUUUACUAUUUUUCUCCUUAUAAUUAAUAAAUAUCAUAUGGAGAGA